This 171-nucleotide ribosomal RNA is filed under the name uncultured bacterium. RNAcentral's name for it is "partial 16S ribosomal RNA". It matches the Rfam family "Bacterial small subunit ribosomal RNA", at positions 337 to 525 of the family's 1533-position model. The record is from RNAcentral.
UCCUACGGGAGGCAGCAGUGGGGAAUAUUGGACAAUGGGCGAAAGCCUGAUCCAGCAAUGCCGCGUGAGUGAUGAAGGCCCUAGGGUUGUAAAGCUCUUUUACCCGGGAAGAUAAUGACUGUACCGGGAGAAUAAGCCCCGGCUAACUCCGUGCCAGCACCCGCGGUAAUA